AGUGAACGCUGGCGGUAGGCCUAACACAUGCAAGUCGAACGGCAGCACAGGAGAGCUUGCUCUCUGGGUGGCGAGUGGCGGACGGGUGAGGAAUACAUCGGAAUCUACUCUGUCGUGGGGGAUAACGUAGGGAAACUUACGCUAAUACCGCAUACGACCUACGGGUGAAAGCAGGGGACCUUCGGGCCUUGCGCGAUUGAAUGAGCCGAUGUCGGAUUAGCUAGUUGGCGGGGUAAAGGCCCACCAAGGCGACGAACCGUAGCUGGUCUGAGAGGAGGAUCAGCCGCACUGGGAAGGAGCCACGGUCCAGACUCCUACGGGAGGCAGCAGUGGGGACUAUUGGACAAGGGGCGCAAGCCUGAUCCAGCCAUACCGCGUGGGUGAAGAAGGCCUUCGGGUUGUAAAGCCCUUUUGUUGGGAAAGAAAUCCAGCUGGCUAAUACCCGGUUGGGAUGACGGUACCCAAAGAAUAAGCACCGGCUAACUUCGUGCCAGCCGCCGCCGUAA
This 506-nucleotide ribosomal RNA is filed under the name uncultured bacterium. RNAcentral's name for it is "partial 16S ribosomal RNA". It matches the Rfam family "Bacterial small subunit ribosomal RNA", at positions 29 to 523 of the family's 1533-position model. The record is from RNAcentral.